Molecule: ribosomal RNA, 301 nt
Filed under: uncultured bacterium
Lineage: Bacteria
Description: partial 16S ribosomal RNA
Rfam family: Bacterial small subunit ribosomal RNA
Source: RNAcentral
CAGUCGCCGCGGUAAUACGUAGGUGGCAAGCGUUGUCCGGAAUUAUUGGGCGUAAAGGGCUCGCAGGCGGUUUCUUAAGUCUGAUGUGAAAGCCCCCGGCUCAACCGGGGAGGGUCAUUGGAAACUGGGAAACUUGAGUGCAGAAGAGGAGAGUGGAAUUCCACGUGUAGCGGUGAAAUGCGUAGAGAUGUGGAGGAACACCAGUGGCGAAGGCGACUCUCUGGUCUGUAACUGACGCUGAGGAGCGAAAGCGUGGGGAGCGAACAGGAUUAGAGACCCGUGUAGUCCCUGUCUCUUAUCC